This 571-nucleotide ribosomal RNA is filed under the name uncultured marine eukaryote. Its description in RNAcentral is "SSU rRNA". It matches the Rfam family "Eukaryotic small subunit ribosomal RNA", at positions 615 to 1199 of the family's 1831-position model. The record is from RNAcentral.
GCAGUUAAAAAGCUCGUAGUCGGAUUUCAGUAUUAGGCCCUUCUUCCAAUACGGUUGCUAGUGGUCUUUACUUCCUUAACAGAAUCUUUCAUCUCAUUAAUUUGGGGUGUUUGGGGCCUGUUUCUUUUACUUUGAGAAAAUUAGAGUGUUCAAAGCGGGUUUUCGCCUGGAUAUUACUCUUGGAAUAAUAAUAUAGGACUUUGGUUCUUUUUUGUUGGUGACUUAGAACCGAAGUAAUGAUUGAUAGGGACAGUUGGGGUCAUUCGUACUAUGAAGCGAGAGGUGAAAUUCAUGGACCUUUGUAUGACGAACUACUGCGAAAGCAUUUGACUAGGAUGUUCCCGUUGAUCAAGAACGAAAGUUGGGGGAUCGAAGACGAUCAGAUACCGUCGUAGUCUCAACCAUAAACUAUGCCAGCUAGGGAUUGGAGGAAGAUCAUUUUACGUCUCCUUCAGCACCUUAUGAGAAAUCAAAGCAUUUGGGUUCCGGGGGGAGUAUGGUCGCAAGGCUGAAACUUAAAGGAAUUGACGGGAGGGCACCACCAGGAGUGGAGCCUGCGGCUUAAUUUGAU